CCAAUAUUCUUUAUUUAAAUUAUAUAUGAUAUAUGAUCUCUUAUUCAAGAAAGAAAAAAAUAUAGUUAAUUCGAAAAGGAGGAAGGAGGGAGCAUAUUUUACUUUGCUGCCAAAAUUACUUAUAGAUGACCUCAAGUUUUAUAAUUACAUGCGUAUGAAAAAAAUACCUAGCAACUGGGAAUUCAUAUGUCACCUUGUCAUAUUCUCAUAAACUUGGGGUAUCAACUAUAAAACUAAUAAUAGGAGAAAAUACAAAAGCUAUAUGGGAUAUUAUUCAACCCAUCCAUAUGAAGGUCCCAACAUUGGAGAUGUUUGAGGAAGUUGCUAAGGGCUUUGAUGAAAGGUGGAACUUCCCAAACUGUAUAGGUGCCAUUGAUGGGAAACAUUGUAAAACAAAAAAGUCUUCAUAUUCUGGAACCCAAUUUUAUAAUUACAAGCAUGGAUUUUCAAUAAUCCUUCAAGCAUUGGUGGAUCAUAAUGGCAAAUUUAUGGUUAUAGAUGUUGGCACUUAUGGAAGCCAAA
Gordionus sp. m RMFG-2023 is the source of this 522-nucleotide long non-coding RNA. RefSeq lists it as uncharacterized. The transcript has 3 exons. The record is from RefSeq and is a predicted model, not a curated record. Lineage: Eukaryota; Metazoa; Nematomorpha; Gordioida; Chordodea; Parachordodidae.